This is a long non-coding RNA of Triticum urartu, 1568 nucleotides long. RefSeq lists it as uncharacterized. Lineage: Eukaryota; Viridiplantae; Streptophyta; Magnoliopsida; Poales; Poaceae. The record is from RefSeq and is a predicted model, not a curated record.
UGUGAGAGGAGGAGGACGCCCCCCCCCCAAACCGAAGCCUCCGUCAAGCACUAUCCCAUUCCCGUCUGUCACCAGCAGCGGCAAGACUCCACCAAGUCCAUCCUCAUUCAUCACCGGCAAGUCUCCACCGAGUCCAAUCUCGUCCAUCACCGACAGGAGCACGAAGAUUGGCAUGUCCAGUGGCAGCAUGUCGACACCACCAACAGAAAGUGGUGACCAAGCUGUAGUUGCAUAUUUUGGGACAGGAAGUGUACCUCAAAUUGAGCACAUGGAAGAGGAAGAGGAUGACUUCGAUGAGUCCAUUCAUUAUCAUGAGUUUGCAGAUCCUAUUUUUGUUUCUGAUGAAGAGGAAGAUGGGGCUGGAGGGGAUGAGACUGGAGAAGAUGAGGCUGAAGAGGAGGAGGAGAAUGUAGAAGUUGCUUCCAAAAGAAAACUUACCUCAACUGUGUGGGCUGAGUUCAAGAGAGUGAAGGUUGCUGGAAAAUGGAAGGCAAAGUGUGUUUAUUGCAAUAAGGAGCUUGGAGGAGAACCAAAGAAUGGGACCAAACAUCUUCACUACCACUUAGGUAUUUGUGUUCUGAAAAAGAUCAAGACCAAGGGUAAAACCCUUAGUCAAUCUUCUUUGAGGUUUGGUUCUGCAAGCCAAGGAAAAGUAAAUGUGGAGAAUUACACAUUUGAUCAAGAUCUAAUGGGCAUGGCUACAAUUCUUGAUCCUCGGUACAAAAAUGAGAUGUUGCUUGUUUGCUUUGCAAUGUUACAUGGUGUCAACGUUUCAUCUGCAGAAUGUGAGGGGUAUGUGGCAGAAUUAGUUGCCAAGUUAUGCAAAUUGUUAGAGGAAUACAGUCUUGAGAAGGAUGAUGAUGAAUCAGCCCCUUCUUCCUCUUUUUCUUCUAUGCAAGCCCCAGCUCUUAUGUCACUCUUCAAUGAGCGUGUUGCUCAGAAAAGGCCAACAGCUUCUAGGAUGAAAUCUAAGUUAGACCGCUACUUAGAAGAUGAGCUAGUUCCAGUUUACAAGAUAAAUUUAAUGUGCUAGAUUGGUGGAAAGUGGCUGGAACACGCUAUCAUACUUUGCGGAUGCUAGCCCGUGACAUCUUUGCUAUUCCAGUCAGCACCGUUGCUUCAGAAUCUGCAUUCAGUACAAGCGGUAGAGUUCUAUGUGACCAUCGUUGUAGUCUUACUCCAGAAAUGUUAGAGACUCUAAUGUGCUCACAAGAUUGGAUACGGAACAAAUAUAAAGAUGGCAACAAUGCAAACUCACCAAGUUUCUGGACUUGACUCCAAGACAAUCAAGAGGUUCUACCCUCACCUGAUCUGGAAAGUUGCGCUUGAUGCUUCAUGAAGAAUGGAGAUUUGGAGGCUGCCAUGUUGAACCAUUGAUGACUUUCUACUGUUCUUUUGGUCCCAAAGACUUAUUUGCUUAAAUUUAUGUGUGUGAACCUAUUAGUUGUAAUUCCCUCAUCGUAAGAUUGUGAACUACUAUGUGUUGGUGUGUGAAAACUGAGAUUUGGAUGCUGAUUAUGUGCUGAAUUGCUGUUGUUUACUAUGAAACCUGGAUAUUUAUUAUGCUA